Molecule: ribosomal RNA, 500 nt
Filed under: uncultured bacterium
Lineage: Bacteria
Description: partial 16S ribosomal RNA
Rfam family: Bacterial small subunit ribosomal RNA
Source: RNAcentral
ACUCAAAGGAAUUGACGGGGACCCGCACAAGCGGUGGAGCAUGUGGUUUAAUUCGAGGCAACGCGAAGAACCUUACCAGGCCUUGACAUGUCCAGUUUGGAUCGCAGAGAUGCUUUCCUUCAGUUCGGCUGGCUGGAACACAGGUGCUGCAUGGCUGUCGUCAGCUCGUGUCGUGAGAUGUUGGGUUAAGUCCCGCAACGAGCGCAACCCUCAUCUUUAGUUGCUACCAUUUAGUUGAGCACUCUAAAGAAACUGCCGGUGAUAAGCCGGAGGAAGGUGGGGAUGACGUCAAGUCUUCAUGGCCCUUAUGGCCUGGGCUACACACGUGCUACAAUGGCGGCUACAGUGCGUCGCUACCUUGCAAGAGGAAGCUAAUCGCAAAAAGCCGUCUCAGUUCAGAUUGUACUCUGCAACUCGAGUACAUGAAGUUGGAAUCGCUAGUAAUCGUGGAUCAGCAUGCCACGGUGAAUACGUUCCCGGGUCUUGCACACACCGCCCGU